Molecule: ribosomal RNA, 497 nt
Filed under: uncultured bacterium
Lineage: Bacteria
Description: partial 16S ribosomal RNA
Rfam family: Bacterial small subunit ribosomal RNA
Source: RNAcentral
GAUGAACGCUGGCGGCGUGCCUAAUACAUGCAAGUCGAGCGAACAGACGAGGAGCUUGCUCCUCUGACGUUAGCGGCGGACGGGUGAGUAACACGUGGAUAACCUACCUAUAAGACUGGGAUAACUUCGGGAAACCGGAGCUAAUACCGGAUAAUAUAUUGAACCGCAUGGUUCAAUAGUGAAAGACGGUUUUGCUGUCACUUAUAGAUGGAUCCGCGCCGGAUUAGCUAGUUGGUAAGGUAACGGCUUACCAAGGCAACGAUGCGUAGCCGACCUGAGAGGGUGAUCGGCCACACUGGAACUGAGACACGGUCCAGACUCCUACGGGAGGCAGCAGUAGGGAAUCUUCCGCAAUGGGCGAAAGCCUGACGGAGCAACGCCGCGUGAGUGAUGAAGGUCUUCGGAUCGUAAAACUCUUUUAUUAGGGAAGAACAAAUGUGUAAGUAACUAUGCACGUCUUGACGGUACCUAAUCAGAAAGCCACGGCUAACUACGUG